CUCUUGGCCUGUGGUUCCGCUCCUGUUUGUUCUCCUCACUUCUCUCCCUACCCGGACCUUCUCCAAAUACACCCUGCUGGAUCUACCAAGCCAAGUGUCCUCUCGUCCAUCUGAACUGAAACUUCUGAAUUUUUUUCAUGUCCAAAGUCAAUCUUACAAGGUGACCAUUUGUGAGCAUUUGCAAUGGGAGUGUUUCCACUGAUUUGUAGGAGACUGGAUGCACAUUAAGAGUCACCACAGCAUCAGAACAGCAGUCUUGCAAUAGAACAGAAACAGAAAUUUGCAAAGAAAAGUAAAGAGAAAGACAAAAAACUAAAUCAACUACUUAAAACUUCUGUUGAUUUUUUUUAAAUGGCUUUUUGCUUUCUUACUCAGCCAUUUCUUGGCUUCUGAAUGCCUUGUGGUUGUCUCAUUCAUGCUUAGUUUUUGCCUUUUCUGCUCUUGGAUUCAUCUUUUGCUUGAAGAAAAAACUGAUAAAACAAUGUAGCUAUUCCUACUACUUUCUCCUCUUUCAUUUCAAAGGUGGAUUUAAUUAAUGCAGAAUACUUGUUUCUUUAAUUGAUUUUUAUAACUACAUAAAGUAGUUUUUACCAAAUUUAGAAAGAUAGGAUAUCUUUAAAAGGCAUUCAAAAUUACUGAUAUCUCAGGAUCUGUGGGGUUUUUUAAUAUUACUUAUAGCAUUUAUUACAUAUCUGUAUUGAUUCAAGCUUCCAGAUACAAAGCUAUCACUAAAAAAAAAUGAAAUCAUAAUUGAUUGUAUGUUUAGAUGCAGAAUUAGGAAGUAAUUUGCAACUUGGCAGCUGAAAGAAAAUUGUAUCAAGGCAUGAGACCAGCUGGUUUUAUGUGAAAACAAAGAGCAAUAGAUCCAAAGUGUACAAGAUUUUCCUGGUGACUGAGCACACAUCACAGUGACAUGACAAUGUAACUGUAUUUAAUAGUCAUAUCACUCUGCAAAUAUUUGUUGACUGUAACUGGGGAGAUGAAGAAAAAAGAAAAGUAGGAUUUCCAAUACUAUGUGUAGAAUCAGACUUGUGGGAUUUAUGGUGCAGCAAAAGUGCUGACUCUUUCUAGAGAGGGUAUUUUAAGAAAGUCUCUGACAAAAACAGUGGCUCAUAUUACUGGGAAAAUUAGUAGAUCCUUUUUCAGAAAAGUGGUUGAUGUGCAAGUAUAGUUAAUUCAGUCCAAAAUUCACAUUCUGUUUUCAGGUUGUUUUUCCUUAACGUUCACAAUUAACCCCCUUUUCAUAGCUUAAACAGAAAUGAGGGAUUAUUGUGCAAUUACAUGCAGAGAGGAAACUUAGAUUUUAAAUCAUGUUCAUAGGGUUUUUAGGGGGUGUAUUUUAAAGUAGAACCCAAAAUACUUUUUCUAGUUAACACCUAAAUAAUAAAAUUUAAAAAUCAAAUUAACAAGAAACAUACAGUUCUCUAUGGGUAUGAAAAUAAUUUCUAUUGAGUUACUGAAAUUUGAAACAUAUGAAUUUGUUGCCCAUUUGUAAGACUUACAUAUUUUAAAAGAGUAUACAUCAAAAGAUAAACCAAAAAAAUUAUCUGAGAUAUACAUAUUUUCUGACCUGUUCAUUGUAGACAUGUUCAUUUAAAAAAAAAAGGAAGCAGAAAAAAAAUCAAUGCAAAAAACCUCUAGAUUUGAAGAACUAAAUGGGUUACAAGAAUGAUAUAUCAGGUUUAUGUGUGGGCUUUUAGUGAUAGUAAAGUUACUUUUAAUUAGGACAAAAUGUAGAAGGAAGACAAACAAACUCAAAUCCUUCCAUAAAUUAUUUUCUGCAGUUGUGCUCUGUUUAGGAUCAAGAUCUGUUUUUAAGUAAACUCAAGGGUAAUAUGAGAUGUGAUCGAAUUUUAGAGUACUGCAAUGACCUAGUGAAAAAAAAAAGAGAAAAAAUAAUUCAUACUUCAUGGUCUCAUCAAGAAUUUAAUUUACUCUUCAUUUCUGUGUAUUAGUAUCUAGGAACCUCUGACCCUCUUCAGUCAUUCAUCAGAAGAAAUGCUUAAAACUGACAGCUGAACUUUGCAUUCAAAUCAUGAUUUAAUAUUCGAAGUUAAGCUUAAGCAUGAAAGGCAGCUAAAUGGUCAAAUAAAUGGAUAAUUACGCUUCCAUAUUGAAAGACGCAUAAUAUAUUUCCAUUACAAAGCCAAGCAGGGUUGUUUAUUCAACAUCGGAUUUAUCCUUAAACAAGGGCAAGAAGAACAGAUUUGAAACAGAAGAGUGCCCUGUGUUUAUCAAAUAUUCUUAUCUUGAAUACAGCUUUGUAACAAAUCCCCAUGCUUCUCUUAAUAUGCUGACAUUUUAUCCAUCAAAGGAAUGUUGUUAAUGAA
Passer domesticus (house sparrow) is the source of this 2330-nucleotide long non-coding RNA. RefSeq lists it as uncharacterized. Lineage: Eukaryota; Metazoa; Chordata; Aves; Passeriformes; Passeridae. The record is from RefSeq and is a predicted model, not a curated record. The transcript has 3 exons.